RNAcentral lists this ribosomal RNA (657 nucleotides) under Triticum aestivum (bread wheat). Its description in RNAcentral is "partial small subunit ribosomal RNA". The record is from RNAcentral. Lineage: Eukaryota; Viridiplantae; Streptophyta; Magnoliopsida; Poales; Poaceae.
AUGUAUGGCACUAUUGUAUAUCCACCUUUGUACACGAAAGUCAUGGGGAGGCCCAAGAAAAAUAGGAAGAAAGAUCCAGAAGAGAAAAAGGACAAGCAUGGAGGGUUGAAGCUUACGAAACAUGGAUCCACAAUGCACUGUUCCAUAUGUGGAGCACCAGAUCAUAACAAAAAGGGCCAUUACAAACACGAGAAUGUCACUCCAAAUGAAGAAAUAGCUCAAGCAGAAGAAGAUUAUGAUGAUCCGUCCAUCAUCGAUUAUAUAAUGCCGCAUACUGUGCAUGCUGAUUCGGAUCCAACUCAAACUCCUGGCUCUACGAUUUUCAUGAUGCAAGAACAUGAGAGGUUCACAUAUCCACCUGUCAGGGACUUUGGUCCACUGCCAGAAUCCACUUUCAUUGCUAAUGCAAGAGCUGAGAUUCCAUCUGCCAGAGUGACAACAGCUAACAGCUAUGUCAAGGGGAAGGCAACAAUCAACAAGAAGAGGAAUAGGAGGGGCUGGGAGAGGAACAAGAGGAGGGGCUGGUGCUGGCAGAGGAACAAGAGGAGGGUCUGGUGCUGGCAGAGGAACAAUAAGAGGGGCAGGGAGGGGAACAAGAGGAAGUGCCGCAAGAGGGGCAAAUGCAACUGCUACAAGAGGACCAAAUGCAAAUUCUAG